GAGAGUUUGAUUCUGGCUCAGGACGAACGCUGGCGGCGUGCCUAAUACAUGCAAGUAGAACGCUGAAGGAGGAGCUUGCUCUUCUGGAUGAGUUGCGAACGGGUGAGUAACGCGUAGGUAACCUGCCUGGUAGCGGGGGAUAACUAUUGGAAACGAUAGCUAAUACCGCAUAAUAGUAGAUGUUGCAUGACAUUUGCUUAAAAGGUGCAAUUGCAUCACUACCAGAUGGACCUGCGUUGUAUUAGCUAGUUGGUGGGGUAACGGCUCACCAAGGCGACGAUACAUAGCCGACCUGAGAGGGUGAUCGGCCACACUGGGACUGAGACACGGCCCAGACUCCUACGGGAGGCAGCAGUAGGGAAUCUUCGGCAAUGGACGAAAGUCUGACCGAGCAACGCCGCGUGAGUGAAGAAGGUUUUCGGAUCGUAAAGCUCUGUUGUAAGAGAAGAACGAGUGUGAGAGUGGAAAGUUCACACUGUGACGGUAUCUUACCAGAAAGGGACGGCUAACUACGUGCCAGCAGCCGCGGUAAUACGUAGGUCCCGAGCGUUGUCCGGAUUUAUUGGGCGUAAAGCGAGCGCAGGCGGUUAGAUAAGUCUGAAGUUAAAGGCUGUGGCUUAACCAUAGUACGCUUUGGAAACUGUUUAACUUGAGUGCAAGAGGGGAGAGUGGAAUUCCAUGUGUAGCGGUGAAAUGCGUAG
Molecule: ribosomal RNA, 701 nt
Filed under: uncultured bacterium
Lineage: Bacteria
Description: bacterial SSU rRNA
Rfam family: Bacterial small subunit ribosomal RNA
Source: RNAcentral